This 69-nucleotide transfer RNA is filed under the name Bos taurus (domestic cattle). It matches the Rfam family "tRNA". Rfam says of the family: Transfer RNA (tRNA) molecules are approximately 80 nucleotides in length. Their secondary structure includes four short double-helical elements and three loops (D, anti-codon, and T loops). Further hydrogen bonds mediate the characteristic L-shaped molecular structure. tRNAs have two regions of fundamental functional importance: the anti-codon, which is responsible for specific mRNA codon recognition, and the 3' end, to which the tRNAs corresponding amino acid is attached (by aminoacyl-tRNA synthetases). tRNAs cope with the degeneracy of the genetic code in two manners: having more than one tRNA (with a specific anti-codon) for a particular amino acid; and 'wobble' base-pairing, i.e. permitting non-standard base-pairing at the 3rd anti-codon position. Lineage: Eukaryota; Metazoa; Chordata; Mammalia; Artiodactyla; Bovidae. RNAcentral also lists the same sequence under 6 other names. The record is from Rfam by way of RNAcentral.
CCUGGUGGCUCAGACGGUAAAGCGUCUGCCUACAAUGCGGGAGACCAGGGUUCAAUCCCUGGGUCAGGA